AAUAACUAUAGUUUUACACUAUUCACGUUCAAUGUUUGACCGUUCGUUUUAUUUAAAAAAAAUUAUGAUUAGUAUUUUUAUUGCUAUUAGAUGAUAAAACAUGAAUAGUACUUUAUGUGUGACUAAAUAUUUUCAAAUUUUUCAAAUAAGACGGACGGUCAAACGUUGGGCACGGAUAUUCACGACUGCAUUUAUU
Molecule: microRNA precursor, 196 nt
Filed under: Oryza nivara
Lineage: Eukaryota; Viridiplantae; Streptophyta; Magnoliopsida; Poales; Poaceae
Description: MIR812 microRNA precursor family
Rfam family: MIR812 microRNA precursor family
Source: Rfam by way of RNAcentral